Molecule: long non-coding RNA, 1467 nt
Organism: Nematostella vectensis (starlet sea anemone)
Lineage: Eukaryota; Metazoa; Cnidaria; Anthozoa; Actiniaria; Edwardsiidae
Exons: 4
Source: RefSeq, a predicted model, not a curated record
UGUUGCAUUGUAAAGGGGCUUAGAAGUGCAAGAUUUGGAUAAAUUCACCUACAAAACUAAAUUACUAAAUCACCUACAUACAGCCAAGAGCUAGUUUUCAAGAAAAGGGAUUUUGGGAUUCCUGUGGCAAACAGAAAAUGAUAUCCGGAGGCUUGGUUACGUUUAGCGUCUGUUGGAAGACCAAGCUGCAUUCUGUAGCCACGUGACAACAGCAUCAAGCCACGUGACAACAGCAUCAAAUGCCUGCAAUACACUGGCUACGAAAGGAUGUUUAACAGUAACAUAUCAGACAGCAUUAUUGGUGCUGCUUUCCAGUGUUCAGGGUUUUGAAAACCACUCCAUUUCAAAUGAAGGUAUUUAAGAUAACAUCAGUUAUCCUACUUCGUCAUUUACCUUUUCCUUAAUUCAAGCUCAAUUGAGAUGGAAUAACUAAUGUGAGGCUGGGGGCAUGUGCCACUGCCAAUAUUUUCAAAAAAUUAGAAGGAAUUGACCAGUAGAAGUGUGGCUUUGUCCCUUGUUUUAUUAAUGCUUUUGUAUCAUGCCCCCCAAUAAUUAUAGGCCUGCUAGGUAGUAGGUGGAAAGAAAAGCUCUAAAUCAAGUAGAACAUAACCAAUUCAUUCUUUUUUUCUUUAUUAUGUUUGAGAGGACAGUUUAACAGUACCAGGCGAAUAAAAUAGCUUUUACAACAUAUCGGUAAUGGUGUUUAAGUAAGCUCUAAAACUCUAUUGAUGUAGGUCUUGAAAAAAGUUGAAGGUUAUCAAAAAUGGAAGUAACACUGCAACUACAAUUCACCAGAGUCAGCAAUAACAACCUUUUUACUGGUCUUGCCACUGUCACUCCCAACCUUCUCAAUCUUUUUCACAACAUCCAUUCCAUCUUUAACAGAUCCAAAUACAACAUGCUUGCCAUCUAGCCAUGAUGUCUUUGCUGUGCAAAGAAAGAACUGGGAGCCAUUGGUGCCGGGGCCAGCAUUAGCCAUGGAAAGGAUACCUGAAGAAGAAAAUUAAAAUUUAGUGUUAAACAAUCUCUACACUCUGAUUGGCUCAUUGCAUUUUCAAAUGGAAACAAUGGGAAAGGAAUUUGGUUGUUUUACAGCAGCCGCUUGUGGGGAAGGUGUGCGUGACACUGAAAUUGGCUGCUAAGCAGACUACCUAUGCACCUAUCAUUUUGCUAUAAGAGAAAUUCUGCUGUAAAUUGCUCAUGCUGAAUUGCCUCAUUUUAACAUUCUGAUGCAUGCUAGCAGGCCAACCUUAUGCGAUGUAAACCAAUUAAACCAAUGAGGAUUUUUUUUAACUUUGUAUUGUUGGACAUUGUAGCAUGCAUUGCACUAUAACAAGAAUCAUGCCAGUUUGAUUUACAUGUAUUUCCAUGUACAGUUUCCUCAAUGUGCCUAGGUUGUUUGUCAUUGCUGGCCACUGAAGCAAUAUAUAAUCCUGAAUCGGCUCAUCAGUAAAAAGACUGAUUGCA